UCCCGCUAUUUCUAUGUUAAACCAAGAACUGAAAUUACAAUCACAGAUCAAGUUAACUUCCUGUCAUGCCUCAUUCACAUAGCUAAGCUUACUUUAAGUAUUAGGUAUAGUCUUUACCAUAUUUCUUGGUGAAGUUUCAUUUUUGUCUCGUCUUUUAUACUGAGGAUCAUCGUACCGUAAGAAGAAAUGUCUGGACGCGGAAAGGGUGGCUAGGGCUGGCGAAGGAAGGUGCCGAACGUGAACGAUUCGCAGUCUUCCCACACAUAUGACAAGAAAUGACUGAACGUGGAAAGCAAGGAACGGAGUUGGAUAAUGGACGUGUAAAGCGUCACCGUUACUGAAAGUGAUUCGUGACAACGUCUGGUGCAUCACCAAGGCACGAGUCUUUCCGAGACAUAGACAAGCAAGGCCUGCCGGGAAAAUGUGGGCAAAGGAGGUGCCAGGCAUCCGAGGAGACAGUGGUCCUGGCGGAAGCCGUCUUGGUGCCACUUCCCAUAGUUGGAUUCGUUGAAAGUCGUCUUCAUCAGCUUCUUGAGAAGACAUUUCAUAACUGGAUGUUUAGAGGACAGUCCGUAUGUCAAUCAUCUCUACAAGACCUGAUGGACAUCAGUCUUUCACGGACAUAUGACAAGAAAUGCCUGGACUUGCUAAGGGCGAAGGAGCUGGGAAUGUAGGCUUCAGGUGCUACCAUCACUGACGGUGCCUCGUGGCAACAUCCAGUUCAUCACCAAGCCAAGGAGUCAUUCAGUCUCUCCAAGGCUCCUUUUGAACGCAGGGCUUCAGUCCGUCUCUGUGUUAUACAGGCCCAAUGUGUGACUGGUUUGGUUUCCGUGGCUGUGUCUGUGUCGAUGGUCGGCAUUGUUUUUAGCGUUACUCUAAAUUCUGUUUUUUAGAAAACAGGAACUUUCCUGGUUCACCAUCUGGUGUCAUAUCUGUUUUAUGUCGUGGUCAGUGGUUGUCGGGGACCUAGACCAUUACAUAAUCUGCCUCGUGUCGUUAUCUUGGGUCCCGAACCAAGAGAACGACACAGGCCAGAAAUGAAGACAGGUGGUUGAAGAGCCUAUUUGAUAUUAGUAGUUUAGUCCUUUAGACACACUAUACUUUUUGGUGUCGACACAGUCACAGAAACCGAAUCAUUGCAGACAGAAUGCAAAGUGUACAUUACGUAUAUCAAGAUGUUAGAUUCAUGUAGUUAAGCUUGCCUAUUCCCAUAUUUUUGAGUCAAGCUUCAUGUUGGUCUCGUAUUGCAAAGAGGUUUGGAGAUACUGAGCUGUGUAGACAUGCGUCUUUUGUAAGUAGUCUUUGUUUUGAAUAUAUCAUAUCAUAUCAUGCCAUUCCAGUGCAGGGUGACUGUCUUUUGUUGUCACUUAGCCUUUGUGUUAAAAAUGCAUUUCAAUUGUAUUAUUGUAAUUCAGUAGAUCGAUUAAUAUUGCCCGUUUAUUGAUGAGUAUAG
Molecule: long non-coding RNA, 1453 nt
Organism: Branchiostoma floridae (Florida lancelet)
Lineage: Eukaryota; Metazoa; Chordata; Leptocardii; Amphioxiformes; Branchiostomatidae
Exons: 4
Source: RefSeq, a predicted model, not a curated record